This is a long non-coding RNA of Panicum virgatum (switchgrass), 1021 nucleotides long. RefSeq lists it as uncharacterized. Lineage: Eukaryota; Viridiplantae; Streptophyta; Magnoliopsida; Poales; Poaceae. The record is from RefSeq and is a predicted model, not a curated record. The transcript has 2 exons.
CUCCCCUUCUCCCUCUCCUCCUCCUGCUCUCCGACACCGCCGCCCGCUCCCGCGGGAUCCAGAUCCGGCACGGGGUGCGGCUCGGAGGGAGAGAAGGCGAUCUUGGAGAGAUUUGCGAUGGCCUGGCGGUUCGAGAGCCGCGCGGCCCCUCGCCGUGGCUAACGCCGACUUUGAUGCGCGGGCAGCGCUUGAAUGCGAGCACCGCGUGGAGAAGUGCAUGGGCGUCGGGGCUGUAGAGGCGGACGCUUGCACCAUUCUCGAUUUCUCUUCCCCCAAUUUCCCUUCUCUGCUCUUCGAUGCAUCAAAUCAGAGGAGAUGCUGCCAAUCGAUCUGCUCUACUUUUCCAAUCACCGAUACCAGCUUCUUCCCCAGCAUGGCAGCACGUGUCCUCCCUCCGUCAUUUGCUCUCCAUCGCAAUAAUCUAGCUGGAUCUACUGCCCAAUUGAUCUGCUCUACUUCUCCAACGACAAGCGGGCGGGUGAGAUCAGCCGGCCGUGGACGGGCGGGAGCUGCGACUGUCAGCUCUACCAAGCUCCGCCCCCGCAUGUGGGCAAGCUCUGCGUGAGUGGGCUCUGGCAAGCUCGGACGGGCGCAAGAGGGCAGGAGCCGUGGGGCAGGCUCCACCGCCACGGGUGGCGAGCUCCGCGUAGGAAGGCUUCGGCGAGCUCGGCCGGUUGCAAGCAGGCGAGAGCAGCUACCUCCGCGUAUGGAUCCUGCUGAUGGACUAUGUGGUCGAUGCGAAGCCAUUGCUCAAGAAGAUGGAGAGGAAUGGAAUAGGCCUUAAGAGAGCUUCAUUUAUAUGGUUUAUGCACUAUAUUAUGACAAGCAGAAGAGGUUCAAUGCCGCAAAGAAGAUGUACAAUCUGGGGAUGCAGAAGUAAGCAAUCUGUUUGUUCCAGUGGUGUACAUCAGUAAUAGAUUAUAGGGAUGUGGACAGAUUAGUGCAACAGAAAGAAUUAUAGAAAUACAAACAAUUUCGGUUAUGUUUACUUCUUGUUUUAAUUGCCUUGCAUUAUUUCAAA